This 497-nucleotide ribosomal RNA is filed under the name uncultured bacterium. RNAcentral describes it as "partial 16S ribosomal RNA". It matches the Rfam family "Bacterial small subunit ribosomal RNA", at positions 28 to 507 of the family's 1533-position model. The record is from RNAcentral.
GAUGAACGCUGGCGGCGUGCCUAAUACAUGCAAGUCGAGCGAACGGACGAGAAGCUUGCUUCUCUGAUGUUAGCGGCGGACGGGUGAGUAACACGUGGAUAACCUACCUAUAAGACUGGGAUAACUUCGGGAAACCGGAGCUAAUACCGGAUAAUAUUUUGAACCGCAUGGUUCAAAAGUGAAAGACGGUCUUGCUGUCACUUAUAGAUGGAUCCGCGCUGCAUUAGCUAGUUGGUAAGGUAACGGCUUACCAAGGCAACGAUGCAUAGCCGACCUGAGAGGGUGAUCGGUCACACUGGAACUGAGACACGGUCCAGACUCCUACGGGAGGCAGCAGUAGGGAAUCUUCCGCAAUGGGCGAAAGCCUGACGGAGCAACGCCGCGUGAGUGAUGAAGGUCUUCGGAUCGUAAAACUCUGCUAUUAGGGAAGAACAUAUGUGUAAGUAACUGUGCACAUCUUGACGGUACCUAAUCAGAAAGCCACGGCUAACUACGUG